RNAcentral lists this ribosomal RNA (850 nucleotides) under uncultured bacterium. Its description in RNAcentral is "SSU rRNA". It matches the Rfam family "Bacterial small subunit ribosomal RNA", at positions 524 to 1381 of the family's 1533-position model. The record is from RNAcentral.
UACGUAGGAGGCGAACGUUAUUCGGAUUUACUGGGCGUAAAGGGAGCGUAGGCGGUUCCUCAAGUCGAAUGUGAAAUCUUCUGCCUCAAUCAGAAGGCGCCAUUUGAUACUGGGGGACUUGAGAGCAGCAGAGGGAAAUGGAAUCUCCAGUGUAGCGGUGAAAUGCGUAGAUAUUGGAGAGAACACCAGUGGCGAAAGCGAUUUCCCAGGCUGCUUCUGACGCUGAGGUUCGAAAGCGUGGGGAGCGAAGCGGAUUAGAUACCCGCGUAGUCCACGCCCUAAACGGUGGACACUAGAUAUAGGAGGUAUCGACCCUUUCUGUGUCGAAGCUAACGCUUUAAGUGUCCCGCCUGGGGAGUACGGCCGCAAGGCUGAAACUCAAAGGAAUUGACGGGGGUCCGCACAAGCAGCGGAGCGUGUGGUUUAAUUCGAUGCUACACGAAGAACCUUACCAGGACUUGACAUGUCAGAAGUAGGAUUCCGAAAGGAGGACGACCUGUAUCCAGUCAGGAGCUGUCACAGGUGCUGCAUGGCUGUCGUCAGCUCGUGCCGUGAGGUGUUGGGUUAAGUCCCGCAACGAGCGCAACCCUUGUCCCAUGUUAAAUUCUCAUGGGAGACUGCCUUGUACAGCAAGGAGGAAGGAAAGGAUGACGUCAAGUCGGCACGGCCUUUAUGUCCUGGGCCACACACACGCUACAAUGGACGAUACAGAGGGUUGCCAAGGAGCGAUCCGGAGCUAAUCCCCUAAAAUCGUCCCCAGUUCGGAUUGUAGGCUGAAAUCGCCUGCAUGAAGUCGGAGUUGCUAGUAACCGCAGGUCAGCUAUACUGCGGUGAAUACGUUCUCGGACCU